This 63-nucleotide transfer RNA is filed under the name Blastopsylla occidentalis. RNAcentral describes it as "tRNA-Phe". Lineage: Eukaryota; Metazoa; Arthropoda; Insecta; Hemiptera; Aphalaridae. The record is from RNAcentral.
AUUCAAAUAGUUAAAAAUAGAAUAUAGUUUUGAAGCAACUAAGGUAAUGAAAAUUUUUGGAUA